RNAcentral lists this unclassified non-coding RNA (328 nucleotides) under soil metagenome. RNAcentral describes it as "partial contains 5.8S ribosomal RNA, internal transcribed spacer 2, and large subunit ribosomal RNA". The stretch from base 1 to 119 matches the Rfam family "5.8S ribosomal RNA", at positions 35 to 154 of the family's 154-position model. The record is from RNAcentral.
GAUGAAGAACGUAGCGAAAUGCGAUACGUAAUGUGAAUUGCAAAUUCAGUGAAUCAUCGAAUCUUUGAACGCACAUUGCGCCCCUUGGUAUUCCGAGGGGCAUGCCUGUUCGAGCGUCAUUAUAACCCCUCAAGCUCAGCUUGGUGUUGGGGCCUGCUGCACUGGCAGCCCUUAAAAUCAGUGGCGGCGCCAUCUGGCUCUAAGCGUAGUAAUUCUUCUCGCUAUGGAGUCCUGGUGGAUGCUUGCCAUCAACCCCCAAUUUUUCUAUGGUUGACCUCGGAUCAGGUAGGGAUACCCGCUGAACUUAAGCAUAUCAAUAAGCGGAGGA